UCACUUUUUUUCCUUUUGUGGAUUCGUUUUGUUUUAGUGAAGCUGAAGCUGCUGAAACCUCACCUGUCGCAGUGGGUCAGGCAUGCGGUUAAUUUGACAUAUGUGGACUUCACUCCACGGAUAAAGGCGUCACGUCUGAUUUUGCCUCUCCAAUCUCUAGUGAUACACGGUUGCUGCUUCUCUUGGCUGAGGGAUACUGUUCUUCACAUAGUAGUGAAAAAGGAGAUGAACAGAAGAAAUUCACCUUUAAGUGACAGCUGCCAUUGACACACAGAAGCACUCACUCAAGAUGGCUUAAAGGAGAAAGGGACUCAAUGCAUGACUGGAAAACAGAGUGAUUCAGGCAAG
Myotis myotis is the source of this 348-nucleotide long non-coding RNA. RefSeq lists it as uncharacterized. The transcript has 2 exons. NCBI's taxonomy places the organism in Eukaryota, Metazoa, Chordata, Mammalia, Chiroptera, Vespertilionidae. The record is from RefSeq and is a predicted model, not a curated record.